UACUUUUUGACGAAGAAAUCGAUCGCACAGUUCGCAGAAACCAAAGAGAAAUAAGGUGAAGCUUAAGAUACAUAGAGAACGAGCAAGAAGACGAUACUCAACCCCCAACCGAAGAGAUGGCUGAAAACCAAGACAAUCAGCUACCUCUUGUAAUUGCGGUUAAUCAAAAUCCUGCUCCACGCACUAUGUAUGAUUAUGUUAAACCUUUG
Molecule: long non-coding RNA, 209 nt
Filed under: Gossypium barbadense (sea-island cotton)
Lineage: Eukaryota; Viridiplantae; Streptophyta; Magnoliopsida; Malvales; Malvaceae
Description: long non-coding RNA (GBAR_LNC004502)
Source: RNAcentral